Molecule: ribosomal RNA, 252 nt
Filed under: uncultured bacterium
Lineage: Bacteria
Description: partial 16S ribosomal RNA
Rfam family: Bacterial small subunit ribosomal RNA
Source: RNAcentral
UACGAAGGUCCCAAGCGUUAUCCGGAUUAUUGGGUUUAAAGGGUGCGUAGGCGGGUUAUUAAGUCAGUGGUGAAAGCCUUCAGCUUAACUGAAGAAUUGCCAUUGAUACUGAUGAUCUUGAGUAUGAUUGAGGUUGGCGGAAUGUGUCAUGUAGCGGUGAAAUGCUUAGAUAUGACACAGAACACCGAUUGCGAAGGCAGCUAACUAAGCCAUAACUGACGCUGAUGCACGAAAGCGUGGGGAGCAAACAGG